AGAUAUGUACCUGGAUUCCAAGACAGUAUUCCAGGUGGCUCAAAGAAUUCUUAGAGUUUGUGUUUAUGACAGCAGUUACCGUUUGAAUUUUAAAACAUCAUUUCAAGAUUGGCGAUGCUUUGUGAUAACCUGUAAUGCGGUGGGGGAAAGGAAGUAACGAAGCGUAAAUUGUCACUCGGAAGACAACAGGUUCGAUCUUCCAAAUGGCAGCUCUGCUCGUCUCCCCCUCCCCCCGCGUGUCUGGUCUGGCUCGGUUCAGCAGAGCGGGC
Molecule: long non-coding RNA, 269 nt
Filed under: Apteryx rowi (Okarito brown kiwi)
Lineage: Eukaryota; Metazoa; Chordata; Aves; Apterygiformes; Apterygidae
Description: lncRNA (ENSARWG00000018461.1)
Source: RNAcentral